GAGGUAGAGGCGCGAUAUUUAACAGUUCUUAGUGGAGUUUGAGAAGACUUAGAUGCUAAGGAGAAGGAAAUGUCGCCGAAGUGGGUAAUAUUCUCGGUAUUACCUGCUGGGUCUGCAGUUAAGAGCUGCAGGACUGUCUUAGUAAUCUUACCCGGUU
RNAcentral lists this non-coding RNA (157 nucleotides) under Bacillus massilinigeriensis. RNAcentral describes it as "Lysine riboswitch". It matches the Rfam family "Lysine riboswitch aptamer", at positions 5 to 160 of the family's 182-position model. Rfam says of the family: Riboswitches are metabolite binding domains within certain messenger RNAs that serve as precision sensors for their corresponding targets. Allosteric rearrangement of mRNA structure is mediated by ligand binding, and this results in modulation of gene expression. The record is from RNAcentral. Lineage: Bacteria; Bacillati; Bacillota; Bacilli; Caryophanales; Bacillaceae.